AUUGAACGCUGGCGGCAGGCCUAACACAUGCAAGUCGAACGGCAGCACAGAAGAGCUUGCUCUUUGGGUGGCGAGUGGCGGACGGGUGAGUAAUGUCUGGGAAACUGCCCGAUGGAGGGGGAUAACUACUGGAAACGGUAGCUAAUACCGCAUAACGUCGCGAGACCAAAGGGGGGGACCUUCGGGCCUCACACCAUCGGAUGUGACCAGAUGGGAUUAGCUAGUAGGUGGGGUAAUGGCUCACCUAGGCGACGAUACCUAGCUGGUCUGAGAGGAUGACCAGCCACACUGGAACUGAGACACGGUCCAGACUCCUACGGGAGGCAGCAGUGGGGAAUAUUGCACAAUGGGCGCAAGCCUGAUGCAGCCAUGCCGCGUGUAUGAAGAAGGCCUUCGGGUUGUAAAGUACUUUCAGCGGGGAGGAAGGCGGUGAGGUUAAUAACCUCGCCGAUUGACGUUACCCGCAGAAGAAGCACCGGCUAACUCCGUGCCAGCCGCCGCCGUAA
Molecule: ribosomal RNA, 506 nt
Filed under: uncultured bacterium
Lineage: Bacteria
Description: partial 16S ribosomal RNA
Rfam family: Bacterial small subunit ribosomal RNA
Source: RNAcentral